CCUACGGGAGGCAGCAGUCGAGAAUUAUUCACAAUGGGGGAAACCCUGAUGGUGCGACGCCGCGUGGGGGAAUGAAGGUCUUCGGAUUGUAACCCCCUGUCAUGUGGGAGCAAAUUAAAAAGAUAGUACCACAAGAGGAAGAGACGGCUAACUCUUUGCCAGCAGCCGCGGUAAUACAGAGGUCUCAAUCGUUGUUCGGAAUCACUGGGCGUAAGGCGUGCGUAGGCUGUUUUGUAAGUCGUGUGUGAAAGGCGCGGGCUCAACCCGCGGACGGCACAUGAUACUGCGAGACUAGAGUAAUGGAGGGGGAACCGGAAUUCUCGGUGUAGCAGUGAAAUGCGUAGAUAUCGAGAGGAACACUCGUGGCGAAGGCGGGUUCCUGGACAUUAACUGACGCUGAGGCACGAAGGCCAGGGGAGCGAAAGGGAUUAGAUACCCUAGUAGUC
Molecule: ribosomal RNA, 446 nt
Filed under: uncultured bacterium
Lineage: Bacteria
Description: partial 16S ribosomal RNA
Rfam family: Bacterial small subunit ribosomal RNA
Source: RNAcentral